AUGAGCCGCCUAGCUCCCUGUCGAGAUUGCCGCCGUCGCGGCUGCUGUCACCGAGGCCGGGUCAUCGGGCCGCGGGGACCUCAAAGCCGAGUGGACGGGAGCCCCAAGUCAUUGCCUAUCCUUCGCCUCCCCAGAGCUGCUGCAACUGUCAGUCACCCACCCGGAACCCCGAGGGGCAACUACCAAGUAGGCCUCGGGGCCCGGAACAAGGGUCCCGGGGCUCAGGAUCUCGGCCGCUGCGCCUCACUCCUGCCCCAGCCCCGCGCACGGAACUCGUUUCCUUCCCACCCAGUUCGGGACACUCCUCUCUGACUUCCCCAGAUCUCACUUGCAGCGCUACAGCCAGUCCCUCUUCUGGUUCUCACGCACCCACUUAAGGCGGAGUGACUGGCCUAAAAGUCCAAGCUGAUCGUGUGGCUUCCGUUCGUAAAUAUCUCCCCUGGAUCUCCCUCCCUGGAGCCAGACAAGACUCAAAACUCCGAAGGGAAUGCAGUCCCCGCAGGGCGCAAAGGAGAAACUAAUAGUCCAGAGGCGGGGUGAACUUAAAGACCUGGCUUUCAUUAGCGUGGUGUUGUAACAGACUGCCAAGGAGCCUCUGAGGAAAUGGAUUUACGUACAUAUACAUACUCGCCCUUGCCCCUGAAGCAACAUCAAAUACUUUCAUGUUAUUCUUGGGGGCGUUUUAAUUCUUCCGAUCCUCUGAAUUCGUGUUUUUGUACAUCUCUUUCCAACCUGGGCCUACACACUAACAGAAAUAGUUUUUUACAUCGAAGGACAAUGCUUAGUGUUUUAUUCAGUCUCAGCUCUUUUCUUUCUUUUUUCUCGUUGUGUUUCAAAAUGUUUAUUUUUUCUGUCUUGUGAUAGUUUUGGAGGAAAAAUAUUGAAAUAAUUCAAAUCAGGCUCUUAACUCUGCUUUAUUAAAUUUAUAGUCAUAGUAGCCUGUGAGUAUGCUUCGGGGGAGGAAAAAAGAAUGCUGGGGUCUUUAUUCUUCAAGUUCUCUAAGUUUGAUAUUUUGAAUAAACACCCAGAGGUGUCUCUGCCUUUUGUGUGUUAGUAUCUAAUCUUUCCUGCAUUUACGAGUCACUAGUAAAAUGCUAUGAAAGCCAUAGAUCCCAUGGCUCUCACUGUGAUUUUCCUGGGCUGAGUAGGGACUUAGUGAUGUUUAACCCCCAGUAUGCUUUUUAUAGAAGCACCAGCUGAUUCACCAGUGCCCUCCAAAGUGAGCACCUAUCCAUCUCACUCUGGACUCCCAACAGGUCAUACCAGGGAGCUUCGUUGAAAUAGACUUGGCAUUUAAAUUAAAAUGUUUCCCAAAGCAUCUUGGCAGACCUGUAACUAAUGAUGCCAGAGGCCCAAGGCCUGUGCCAGGUUCCCUUUUAUUCCCAUAAGUGCUUGUCUCCCACAAGCCACUGGUCACACGCCUGCUGAUGUUAUAGAAGCACUUCUUCAUCCCACAAACAGCCCAACUGUAGGUACCCUAUCUCAGACAUGGUGAAGGGAAGCAGCAUGUUCCUCUGACAUGUGCGAUGCUUGGCUCCCAACAGGCUUUUUAUAAUAAGCUAAACUCAGAUUUUUUCAUCACAAAUAGCGUAGUAAGUAAUUGUUUUUCCUCAUUCCUGCUUGUCUCUCUGCAGUCACUAAGUGGUUGCUGUCCAUUCCUCAUAUUCCACAAGCAAUAUUAUUGAAGAAAUUGUAAAUAUUUUGCCAAAAUUCUUGCUGAAGUGUUUUCAUGGCAUUGUGAAAUUCGUAGUAGUUGGAGUUAGAAAAAGAGCCAAAAUAUCAUAGUCAUUCCUCAGCGAAUAUUGUCUAAUGGUUCCCUCAGAUUACAUUUCAGAGCAGGGCAAUAAAAGAUAGGCAAGACAUUAAUAAAAUGCCCAUUCUAAAUAGCUCCAUGAUGCUUAUGCCAAUUUAUUUUGUCUGUAUGCAAACGGUUGGAUUCUGGUGAGUAACCUGCUCAUA
RNAcentral lists this long non-coding RNA (1959 nucleotides) under Homo sapiens (human). Its description in RNAcentral is "HSALNT0310623". The record is from RNAcentral. Lineage: Eukaryota; Metazoa; Chordata; Mammalia; Primates; Hominidae.